Molecule: long non-coding RNA, 922 nt
Organism: Anthonomus grandis grandis
Lineage: Eukaryota; Metazoa; Arthropoda; Insecta; Coleoptera; Curculionidae
Exons: 4
Source: RefSeq, a predicted model, not a curated record
GAAGAAGUGAAAUUACUUAUAUUGCUUGUAGAUGCAGUUACGGAAUAACAAAGUUAAAUUUUUAUUAGCUUCAAUACCUGAAAUUAAAACUUCACUAGUUGGACUGUCAUCUAAUGCAGAAAAGUUUUGGACAUCUCACACUUACUACAGAAAAUACAUUCUCUAGGAGAUCUUGAUUAAGAUGAGUAACUAGCGAGUUGAAUCUAUACUCUGCCGAAGUAAGAAAAAUUAACUCAUCUAUGAAGAGUGGAGCAUUAACUGACGACCUAUAUACACCUACUUGUGGAUGGUUCAAAAUUGCUGAUGGUUUUCUACGAAAUACAGUUGUUUUACGUGAAACGCAUGAUAAUUUGGCAAGCCAAGUAUCAUCCAAUGAUGGUGUUUCAGAAGAUUUACCUAGUACGUCGGAACAUUCACCAGCUAGGACAACCCAAGCCAAUUCUGAAAUAAUUGAGGUUAUCCCGAGGGUUACCCAAACACCUAAGCGUAAAAAAAUAAUUCAGAAAAGUGAUCCUGCUACUACAGCUGUAGAAAAAUUAGAAAAUAUAUGCAAAACUAGUGCAGACGCAUUACAGGAGGAUGAAUUUGAAAUUUAUGGAAGAUACAUAGCCUCGCAGCUACGAUCGAUGGACUUAGAAAAAGCUAUUGAUGUUCAAAAUCAGAUUAACAACAUUUUAUCAAAGUCAAGAAUAGAAGACAUCAAAUGCAAAAAGAGUCUCCACAACACUUUUUCAAUUCCUUAUCCGGAAGAGAGUUUAGUAGAUAUAAAUUUACCACCACCAGGUAACCAGACUAAAGUUGAGGUAUAUGAUAUAAGUACAGAAGAGGAUAGUGAUAUAAUGUUUAUUGAAAAACCUGGGCAUUCUAGUGACAUUUUGUCACAAUCUGUGAAUUCUAUUUUCCGAUAUACUGAUUUGUAAAA